CAGGACUGAAUAAUAACUGGAAACAGAUUUAAGUUUGUCAGUAAACAUUAAUGGUAUCAUAAUAACAAGUUGGCUUGAGCUUUUAAGCGAGCAGAACUGGUCUCUACUUUCAGUUUGGUUAUAGGCUUGUUAUCCUAUCAAGUGUUAGCGAGCUGAGUCGAAUAGAGCCAACUUGUUAACUGUCCUUAACAGUGGGUUCCACGUGUCAAUGACUCAAUAUUUUAAAAAAGGGCUGAAUAGAAACUAACGAUGGUUUAAUAGUUAUUUACCUCCAUUGGCAUAAAUGAAAAAAGCUAAAAAUUGAGGCAUGCUGGUCCGUGAUACUGAGAAAAUAGCAAAGCAGGGAGAUGAGGCUCGAUUCAGCUUGCUGGCUAUGAGUCUCUUCGUCUUCUAGGGAUCAGGAUGAUAGAGGGAAAGGAAGCAAAGUUGCUUGCUCUAUCACAGGGACCAGUGCUCACUGAAACAUCAAUUAAUAAAAUUAGGAAAACUACAUGCAACCAAACUUAGAAUAAGAACAAUUGAAUCGAUAAAAUUCCUCAUAAGGAAAUUAUAGGUAGUGUAAUUUUUUUUUAUGUUUAUACUGCAAAAAAGGCAGACACUGAGGAACCUUAGUUGUUUCCAACUAGCAGGUUCGUCAAGGAUGAGCUUGAAACAAUUGGAGCAUUUCUUUGUGUUGUUGAAAAUAUGAAGGAGGAUUCCUCAAACUCGAAGUAUCAAAUGGCCAGAAUUUGGGCAGAGCAAGUGAAAGAUUUGGCUUAUGAUAUGGAAGAUUGCAUUGAGGAACAGAUCGCUGCCCUCAGUACUCAAAGUUCAAGUUGGUCUCAAUAUAUAACCAAUUACAGAACUCUCCGUCCUUUUGCUGCCAAGUUAUGUGAUCUCAGAUCAAGGAUUGUUGAGGUGAGUGAUCGAAAUAUGCGUUAUCAUCUCGUCACUGCCGACCAACCCAUCUACAAUCACAUAAUGGUGUUCUUUGGCAAAGUUGAGCCUGGAUAUCAAGAAAGCAGUACUGAAAAAGAUACCUAUGGUGUCUGGAAGAAAGGGGUGGUUCCAUGGGGUGAAGCUUCCAAAGCAUCAACAUCAAACAAAGAAACCAGGACACCCAAAGUGGUCGCAAUAGUUGGCAUGCGGGGCUCAGGAAAGACUACUUGGGCUAACGAUAUAUAUGAAGAUAAGAAAAAUGCUGAAAAAUAUGAAUGUUGUGUGUGGAUCACGGUCUCACAAGAUGUGAAUGUCACAAAGGUGUUCAUGGAUAUGAUUGCACAGCUCUCUGGUGCUUCUUCAAGCCAAGAUAACCAAAAUGGGGAAGAAGACAAGCUAGCCCAACAUAUUCAAGGAAUAUUACAAGAAAAAAGGUUCUUGCUUGUGUUUGACGAUCUGUGGACAACAAAAGAAUGGCAUAGAAUCAAAAGGGCACUCCCUAAAGUUAGCAAAAGUGGCAGCCUGGUCAUUGUGACAACAGAUAUUGUUCAUGUUGCGAAAGACUGCACUGAAUCAAAUGGUCAUGUUCAUAGGAUGUCACUGUUAUCAAAACAGGAGUCACUUAACCGUCUAAAGGAUUCGAUUCUUGCAUCAAAAAACUCAGAAAUGACUUAUGAAGACAUAGAGGACUUUGAAGAACUGGACCUAGACAGCCUUGAGGUACCUGAGCCACCCUUCAAUUCAAUUGACCAAAUACUAAGAAAAUGCAGUGGUCUAGAGUUGGCUAUAGAAACUGUGGGCAAGUUACUUGCCUCCAAGUCUCCUCACAAAUGGGGAAAACUAUGUGAUGAUCUUCCUUCAUUGCUCUAUAAUGACCCUAGCCUCAACAAAAUUAGGGAAGCAAUGAUUCAGAGCUACAGAAGACUACCACCUUAUCUCAGGCCAUGCUUCUUAUACCUGAGCAUUUUCCCGGAGGACUCCGACAUAAAUUUGGAAACUAUUGUAUGCAGAUGGUUAGCCGAAGGACUUGUGAGGGACAGAACCGGAAUGAAUCCCAGGGAUGUUGCGGAAAGAUAUUUGUUGGAGCUCUUUGAUCGGAACAUGGUUGUGCCAUCCAUACUGAGCAACAACAGAUAUUGUAAGACACUUCAGAUCCAUCCCAUGAUGCGAGAUAUCCUUGUCAUGAUUUCACAAGAGGAGAGAGUCUCCAUAACUGUUGGUCCAAGAAAGAGCUCAAGAUUGCUAGUAAAGCGGGUGCGCCAUCUGGCACUUGAUGGUCAGAGUGACAGGAAGCUAUCUAGAUGUGUGGAACUUUCUGGCAUCAGGUCAGUAACAGUGUUCAGUGAACCAUCAGAAUCCAUUGAUGCACUUAUUUGCUCUUCUCAACUUAGAGCGCUACGAGUUUUGGAUUUGUCAAGUGCCACCUUUCAAAUUACUCAAAGAGAUAUACAGCGUGUCGGAGAACUGUGUCACUUGAGGUACCUGAAUCUUUACAAAUCAAAUAUUAGUGAGCUUCCUUCAUCUAUUGGCAUGCUUCCAUUCCUGCAACUACUAAAUGUGAGGAAGACUUGGGUCACAAAACUUCCAAGUGAGGUCACUCAACUCAGCAGGCUACAGUUCCUUCGUGCUAGCAGAAGAACAGAACAUUCCUGUCACAAUAGAAGGAACCCAUUCUGCUGUGAUUCAGGUGUAACUCUGCCACAAGGAAUAGACAACCUGCAGGACAUAGAAUGGCUGGAUAUCAUGGAAAUCAAGGACAACAGUGGCUCAAAAAUCGAAGCUUUGGGGAAGCUUGCUAGUUUAAAGCACCUGGGAUUGACAGGCAUUACAAUGGAGAACAAUACAAAAGUCUCUAGAACCCUAGAAAAGCUUUCUUCUUCACUGAAGUAUUUGUAUCUUGGAGCAUGCCGAAAUGAUGGGGUACUUUCUUGCCUGCCCAUCUCAGAAAAGAAAGGGAAGUGGUCACUGGAGUUUCCAUGCCUCCAAAGAAUAAAACUUGAUGGCCAUAUUGGAAAAAUGCCACACUGGAUCUCUAACUCAAUAAGACUUGAAGUGAUUAAAUUUUACAGGACCAAUCUCCAACAGAGUGAUAUAACAUUCCUUGAGAGACUACCCUGCCUGGCCGUGCUUGCUCUCCGAGAAAAUUCAUAUAUCAGCAAGACAUUGGUUUUUUAUGCAAAAGCCUUCAGAGAGCUCAGGACCCUGGAGAUUGUAGGGCUACCCAAGUUGAAAACGGUGAUAUUUACAGAAGAAGCUGUGCCCCAUCUCCAACAUUUAGCCAUCAGAUGUUGCACGUUGAGAUUAAAAGGCAGAAGCAACCUUGAAUUCCAGAGUGCUGAUCUUGAUGAUGGUGUUAAAUAGGUUUAGCUGACAAGGAUAAUGCUCUUUGAUUCUCUAAUGAUCCGCUGGUACCAAAAUACAGUACCCCAUCUAGUGUUUUUUGAGGUUUCAAGAGUCAGUUGAUGUUUUGACCCUGAGGACAGGUAAAUAGCCAGGCUUUUUGGUGGGGUUCUGUUUCCUUUUCUUGAAGUGUUCUUUGCAUUUUGUUGAGCUGCAUAUAGUGUUUUUGAGUUUCAUUGACUCGUCUCGGUUGCCUAUAAACAUUCAUUGGCUUCAUUUCCAAUGAAAACGGCAUGUGGUACUUUUUGCUCUUUCAAUCUUAAAUAAAAAAAAUCUAACGAUCCUAAUGUCGACAUGGAAACAACAAGAAAACUAGGCACAUCUUGUUACUGUAAGAAAUAGUGAAACAUGAAUGAUAUCAUGUUUGAUGUUGAUCCCCCCCCCCCACCCCCACGCGCGGUCACCCUCAGCGGCGACUCAGGUGGCAAACACCGCUACAGCUAGGCAACUCCCCUCACCGUCGUUGGAGUCGGCUGCCGGAAACCACGCGGCAGCAAAGAUGACGGUGCAGGGUUUCCUCCUCUUUCAUCUCUUUUGGCAGCUCCCUAACGAGGUCAUGACCAGCAUCGACUGUCACUAGGCAUGGUGUCUGGCAUGAUGGAGAGCAGUGACGCGACAGGGGCAAUGCUGGAUCCGGCUCCACCUUGGCCAUAUCCGUUCUUCGGUCAGAGAUGGGAAGAGGCUGGUGGCUCUGGCCUACUGCCAUCGGUGAUUUGCGGGAAACCAUCAGUGAUCUGCCAAAAGCCACCGGCGAGCGGGCAUGACUCAGGUGGUGUAGGCCACUUGCCGGUGGCAACCGAUCUUGGUGGUUGGCAGUCUUGCCGGACUUCUUCCUCAGGCAUCCCCCCUCGGCUAUGUUGAAGUGGAGAGCUUUCAUCACCAGCUGGUGGCAGGGAAGGCGAUAUAUUGCCCCCAUGGUCAAAGCCGAUCUCAUCUUUAUAGAAGCUAGUGCCUCUUCUACCGCCUUCAGCCUCUAAAUCUCGGUGGCUAGUUCACUGUGACCUUGUGAUGGCAGUGCCAAGUUUCCUACUUGGGGCUAUGCCGGUGCCAAGGCUGGGUGAAUUAGCCGGUGAUGGGCGAUGCCUUGGUGGUGUGAGCUACUGGUAAGGUGGGUUUCAUUCCAACCAUCUGUCGACAAGGACCUUCUUCUCAUCCCACUGUUUCUCUAGCGGGUACUUCUCGCAAUGACAUUUUCUUCAUCGUAAGACAGGGAUGUCUAGAUCUGCUUGUACACCAAUGUUAGCUUGUCUUCGAUUCAAUGUAUCGCUUACAUCGACACCUCAUCCUUCUUUAGAUCGACCCUAUGGAUUUUGGGCAUGUGCCUUCUUUGCUUUUCGCAACAUUAUCUUCUUAAGGUAUCGUGUCUAUAGAAUGUUGAAGGUAGUGAUGUUCAUGGCUGAUUGUGAUUGCGCUAAGUAAUUCUUUUAGAGUAAUUGUAUACUCUUGAUAUAAUUGUCUAAGAUUAAUAAUAAAGAGAUAAAGAAACAUCAAAGAAAUCAUGUUUGUUGCCAUUGUUUCUGUAUCUGUUGCGGCAACAAAAAAAAAACUAAAUUGACACUUCUCUUAUUCCUAGCAAUCAAAUUAGUUUUCUUUUUCCUGUUAGUACGUACCCUCAAGUCAAACGCAUUAUGCAUCACACAUUAACCUGAUUUCCAACAGGAUAUUUGGGGUCUCAGAAAAUCAUCAUAUAUCAAUCAUAGCGAGAGAAAUUUCAAAAUUCCCAUAGUUUCACGGAAUUUAAUGGUGGUAAUUCGUUUAUCUGGAAACAAAAAAGAAAUUACCUCACGUGCACAAGCAUCUAGUCUGCUCCUGAACUUGUUGACGCCCAUUUGGUGGCCCUUUGAUCAACCUCCGUGGCCUUGACGCGCUCUGGGGUUUAGAUCCCGGAUAGAUUCACAUCGAUGCGAGCCGCUACUCGAGACGGCGGCGGCUAGAUUCCAGCGAGCGACCUGGGCCAGCGAAGGGUGGCGGCUGGGAAAGGGAGAUUGGCGCCGGGAGGGGUGGCGGGCCAUGGUAUCAAGCUACGGCAGCCGGCAGGCGGUGCGGCGGCGGUGCUCCCGACGCCGGCGCCGCAGCGGUGAUGGGAGGCAGGAGAAGGAAUCAAGGAAGGCAUGUCCGAGUCCGACUGUCCGAGAGAGGAGGUGGUGCGAGGGCAUUUGGGCCCGUAUUUCCAUUUUCUUUUUUUUUUAAUCCUUCGGUUCCUCCAUUAUACGGAGUACAGAGUUACAGA
Molecule: long non-coding RNA, 5548 nt
Filed under: Oryza brachyantha (malo sina)
Lineage: Eukaryota; Viridiplantae; Streptophyta; Magnoliopsida; Poales; Poaceae
Description: long non-coding RNA (OBRA_LNC002209)
Source: RNAcentral